GGGGGCGUAAUGGUUUCGACGGGGAUUUUGAAAGUGGGAAUAGCCAUCCGCAGACGGUGACUGCGUAUUAAAACCGAAAAUUAAUAAUAAACGACAACGAUUAUUCUUUAGCAGCUGCGUAAAUAACGCAGCCGUCGGCCUGAGAAAACUUGCCGCCUCAGUAACCGGCGUCGAUUAGGCAAGGCACUCAACCGCUUAAGCUUUGCGGCGGUUUGAAGAUUCAUGAAGCUACCUGAACGUAAGUCUUGUUGGUUUGCCUUACGGAAUGGGAACUUUGAAUAACCAACUGUGAUGGGAGAAUUUCCUUCUGCCAGAUUUUCGGACCCGGGUUCGAUUCCCGGCGCCUCCAGAA
Molecule: transfer-messenger RNA, 352 nt
Filed under: Clostridiales bacterium
Lineage: Bacteria; Bacillati; Bacillota; Clostridia; Eubacteriales
Rfam family: transfer-messenger RNA
About the family: Bacterial tmRNA, also known as 10Sa RNA or SsrA, is named for its dual tRNA and mRNA-like properties. Its role is to liberate the mRNA from a stalled ribosome.
Source: RNAcentral